Molecule: long non-coding RNA, 400 nt
Organism: Gavialis gangeticus (Gharial)
Lineage: Eukaryota; Metazoa; Chordata; Crocodylia; Gavialidae
Exons: 2
Source: RefSeq, a predicted model, not a curated record
CGAGGGGGAGGCUGUGAGCCCGGCGCGACCUAGCAGCCCUCCCGUGGGUGCCGGGGCCGACGGAGAUCCUAUGGGAAGGCCCCACACCCCGGCCCUGGCUCCUUGGGCUUCAGCACAAGCCGCUACGCAUGAGUGCCUUCCUCAUGUCCAUGGCCAGUGCAGUUUUUUCCUUCGUGCUGUGGGGCAGGAUUAUUGCACCAACGAGAACGGCUCACCACUCCCAGCCCACAAGAGACAAGACAAGGAGUCCAAGGUGUCCAUGGGGACCACAUUCCAUCAACUGAGAUGCAGAGACCAGUAUUAUUACAUGGACAUGAACAAUUUUAGUCAUAUUUAAAUAUGAAUGUCAAAAAUUUAGGGAAGAGAACUUCAAAUAAACUUGUGAAAAUCUGUUCAUGCA